GACGAACGCUGGCGGCGUGCUUAACACAUGCAAGUCGUACGGUAAGGCCCUUUCGGGGGUCCACGAGUGGCGAACGGGUGAGUAACACGUGAGUAACCUGCCCACAACUUUGGGAUAACGCUAGGAAACUGGUGCUAAUACUGGAUAUGUGCUCCUGCUGCAUGGUGGGGGUUGGAAAGCUCCGGCGGUUGUGGAUGGACUCGCGGCCUAUCAGCUUGUUGGUGGGGCAGUGGCCUACCAAGGCGGCGACGGGUAGCCGGCCUGAGAGGGUGACCGGCCACAUUGGGACUGAGAUACGGCCCAGACUCCUACGGGAGGCAGCAGUGGGGAAUAUUGCACAAUGGGCGCAAGCCUGAUGCAGCAACGCCGCGUGCGGGAUGACGGCCUUCGGGUUGUAAACCGCUUUCAGCAGGGACGAAGCUUUUUGUGACGGUACCUGCAGAAGAAGCACCGGCUAACUACGUG
This 465-nucleotide ribosomal RNA is filed under the name uncultured bacterium. RNAcentral describes it as "partial 16S ribosomal RNA". It matches the Rfam family "Bacterial small subunit ribosomal RNA", at positions 28 to 507 of the family's 1533-position model. The record is from RNAcentral.